RNAcentral lists this long non-coding RNA (1278 nucleotides) under Anas zonorhyncha (Eastern spot-billed duck). RNAcentral's name for it is "lncRNA (ENSAZOG00000010336.1)". Lineage: Eukaryota; Metazoa; Chordata; Aves; Anseriformes; Anatidae. The record is from RNAcentral.
AGGGGAGAAGAUUUGAGGUCGAGGGGAGAACGGGGAGGAGGUUUGGGGUCAAGGUGAGAAUAUUUGGGGUCGAGGGGGGGAAUGGGGAGAAGGCUUGGGGUCAAUCAGAGGAGUUUUGGGGUCGAGGGGAGAAUGGGGAGGAGGUUUGGGGUUGAGGGGAGAAUAUUUGGGGUCGAGAGGAGAUUUGGGGUCAUGGGGAGAACAGGCAGGAGAAGUCUUGGACACGAGGAGGAGGAGGGGCAGGAGAAGACUUGGGGUCAUGGGAGGGGGCAGGAGGAGGUGGGACAGGGCGGGACCUGACAGAAGGCUGGAUUUGGGGGUGGGGGGGGGUCCAGGUGGUGACCCCAAACCCCCCCCGGUGCCUCCCCCCAGGCCCGGCUGCGGCUGGUGGACGUGGUGGAGAAGGAGGACAUCAACGAGGCCAUGAGGCUGAUGGAGAUGUCCAAGGACUCGCUGCAGGGGGACAGGGGACAGCAGGGACGCCCCCCCCGGCCGUCGGAUGCCAUCUUCGCGGCGCUGCGGGAGCUGGCGGGNNNNNNNNNNNNNNNNNNNNNNNNNNNNNNNNNNNNNNNNNNNNNNNNNNNNNNNNNNGGGCGGGGGGCUGGGAACAGGUGGGGAGGGCUCCAGGGGUCUUCAGGGGUCUUCGGGGGGUGAUGGGGAGGGGCUGGGGGAGCUCCUGGGGGAGUGGGGUCAACCCAACGGCGUCUUCUUGGGGUUGGAGGAGGUCCCGUGGGAUCGCCGAGGGGGUGUGGGGGCGAUUGGGGACGUCCUACGGUGUCUUCGUGGGGUCAUGAGGGGUCCCAUGGCAUUUUGGGGGGGGCAUGAGAUGUCCCAUGGCGUGUUUUUGGGGUCAUGAGAUGUCCCACGGCGUGUUUUUGGGGUCACGGGGGUCCCAUGGCAUGUUUUGGGGGUCAUGAGAUGUCCCAUUGGAUUUUAGGGUCGUGGGAGGUCCUAUGGGAUCACCAGAGGGUGUGGGGACACUUGGGGACACCCCAGUGGCGUCUUUGUGGGGUCAUGAGAUGUCCCAUGGUGUCUUUUUGGGGUCAUGAGAUGUCCCAUGGCAUUUUUGGGGGUCAUGAGAUGUCCCAUUGGAUUUUUUGGGGUCGGAGGAGGUCCCAUGGGAUCUCCAGGUGCCGUGGGGCCAAUUGGGGACCCCCCCCACCCUCUCCCUUUUCCCUCCAGUUUCUUGUUCUCUGUUUUUUUAACCAAUAAACUGUUUUUUUAGGGUUUGUUCUGAAACUGGGGGUGCUGCUUCUUCCUUCCUGUGCCCCCCCCCCU